GACAGAGGGUGCAAACGUUGUUCGGAAUUACUGGGCGUAAAGCGCGUGUAGGCGGUUCGGAAAGUCGGAUGUGAAAGCCCUGGGCUCAACCCAGGAAGUGCACUCGAAACUCCCGAACUGGAGUCCUGGAGAGGAAGGCGGAAUUCUCGGUGUAGAGGUGAAAUUCGUAGAUAUCGAGAGGAACAUCGGUGGCGAAGGCGGCCUUCUGGACAGCGACUGACGCUGAGACGCGAAAGCGUGGGGAGCAAACAGG
This 253-nucleotide ribosomal RNA is filed under the name uncultured bacterium. Its description in RNAcentral is "partial 16S ribosomal RNA". It matches the Rfam family "Bacterial small subunit ribosomal RNA", at positions 524 to 776 of the family's 1533-position model. The record is from RNAcentral.